GAAGGUAGAGCUCAGUGGUAGAGUGUGUGCUUAGCAUGCAUGAGGUCCUGGGUUCAAUCCCCAGUCCCUCCA
RNAcentral lists this transfer RNA (72 nucleotides) under Camelus bactrianus (Bactrian camel). It matches the Rfam family "tRNA". Rfam says of the family: Transfer RNA (tRNA) molecules are approximately 80 nucleotides in length. Their secondary structure includes four short double-helical elements and three loops (D, anti-codon, and T loops). The record is from Rfam by way of RNAcentral. Lineage: Eukaryota; Metazoa; Chordata; Mammalia; Artiodactyla; Camelidae. RNAcentral also lists the same sequence under 1 other name.